This 450-nucleotide ribosomal RNA is filed under the name uncultured bacterium. Its description in RNAcentral is "bacterial SSU rRNA". It matches the Rfam family "Bacterial small subunit ribosomal RNA", at positions 328 to 792 of the family's 1533-position model. The record is from RNAcentral.
UUCCCAGACUCCUACGGGAGGCAGCAGUGGGGAAUAUUGGGCAAUGGGCGCAAGCCUGACCCAGCAACGCCGCGUGAAGGAAGAAGGCUUUCGGGUUGUAAACUUCUUUUCUGAGGGACGAAGAAAGUGACGGUACCUCAGGAAUAAGCCACGGCUAACUACGUGCCAGCAGCCGCGGUAAUACGUAGGUGGCAAGCGUUAUCCGGAUUUAUUGGGUGUAAAGGGCGUGUAGGCGGGAAUGCAAGUCAGAUGUGAAAACUAUGGGCUCAACCCAUAGCCUGCAUUUGAAACUGUAUUUCUUGAGUGCUGGAGAGGCAAUCGGAAUUCCGUGUGUAGCGGUGAAAUGCGUAGAUAUCUGGAGGAACAUCAGUGGCGAAGGCGACUAUCUGGCACAUAACUGACGCUGAGGAGCGAAAGCGUGGGUAGCAAACAGGAUUAGAUACCCCGGUA